UACGUAGGUGGCGAGCGUUAUCCGGAAUUAUUGGGCGUAAAGCGCGCGCAGGCGGUUCCUUAAGUCUGAUGUGAAAGCCCACGGCUCAACCGUGGAGGGUCAUUGGAAACUGGGGAACUUGAGUGCAGAAGAGAAGAGCGGAAUUCCACGUGUAGCGGUGAAAUGCGUAGAGAUGUGGAGGAACACCGAUGGCGAAGGCAGCCCCCUGGGCUAACACUGACGCUCAGGCACGAAAGCGUGGGGAGCAAACAGG
RNAcentral lists this ribosomal RNA (253 nucleotides) under uncultured bacterium. Its description in RNAcentral is "partial 16S ribosomal RNA". It matches the Rfam family "Bacterial small subunit ribosomal RNA", at positions 524 to 776 of the family's 1533-position model. The record is from RNAcentral.